UUACCUACUCUUGACAUCCAGAGAACUUAGCAGAGAUGCUUUGGUGCCUUCGGGAACUCUGAGACAGGUGCUGCAUGGCUGUCGUCAGCUCGUGUUGUGAAAUGUUGGGUUAAGUCCCGCAACGAGCGCAACCCUUAUCCUUUGUUGCCAGCGGUUAGGCCGGGAACUCAAAGGAGACUGCCAGUGAUAAACUGGAGGAAGGUGGGGAUGACGUCAAGUCAUCAUGGCCCUUACGAGUAGGGCUACACACGUGCUACAAUGGCGCAUACAAAGAGAAGCGACCUCGCGAGAGCAAGCGGACCUCAUAAAUUGCGUCGUAGUCCGGAUUGGAGUCUGCAACUCGACUCCAUGAAGUCGGAAUCGCUAGUAAUCGUAG
RNAcentral lists this ribosomal RNA (376 nucleotides) under Leclercia sp. 92R. RNAcentral's name for it is "bacterial SSU rRNA". It matches the Rfam family "Bacterial small subunit ribosomal RNA", at positions 971 to 1347 of the family's 1533-position model. Lineage: Bacteria; Pseudomonadati; Pseudomonadota; Gammaproteobacteria; Enterobacterales; Enterobacteriaceae. The record is from RNAcentral.